GUGCUCUCUUGGGAUAGCACAUAUACUAAAAUCGGAAUGCUACAAGAUUAGUAUGGCCCCUACACAAGAAUGACAUGCAAAUUCAUGAAGCGUUCCAUAUUUAU
This is a small nuclear RNA of Pteropus vampyrus (large flying fox), 104 nucleotides long. Lineage: Eukaryota; Metazoa; Chordata; Mammalia; Chiroptera; Pteropodidae. The record is from Ensembl.